AAAACGACUCUCGGCAACGGAUAUCUCGGCUCUCGCAUCGAUGAAGAACGUAGCGAAAUGCGAUACUUGGUGUGAAUUGCAGAAUCCCGUGAAUCAUCGAGUCUUUGAACGCAAGUUGCGCCCGACGCCAUUCGGCGGAGGGCACGUCUGCCUGGGUGUCAC
RNAcentral lists this ribosomal RNA (162 nucleotides) under Fagus longipetiolata. RNAcentral describes it as "5.8S ribosomal RNA". It matches the Rfam family "5.8S ribosomal RNA". Rfam says of the family: 5.8S ribosomal RNA (5.8S rRNA) is a component of the large subunit of the eukaryotic ribosome. It is transcribed by RNA polymerase I as part of the 45S precursor that also contains 18S and 28S rRNA. The record is from RNAcentral. Lineage: Eukaryota; Viridiplantae; Streptophyta; Magnoliopsida; Fagales; Fagaceae.